RNAcentral lists this ribosomal RNA (423 nucleotides) under uncultured Clostridium sp. RNAcentral describes it as "bacterial SSU rRNA". It matches the Rfam family "Bacterial small subunit ribosomal RNA", at positions 355 to 794 of the family's 1533-position model. The record is from RNAcentral. Lineage: Bacteria; Bacillati; Bacillota; Clostridia; Eubacteriales; Clostridiaceae.
UGGGGAAUAUUGCACAAUGGGGGGAAACCCUGAUGCAGCGACGCCGCGUGAGCGAAGAAGUAUCUCGGUAUGUAAAGCUCUAUCAGCAGGGAAGAAAAUGACGGUACCUGACUAAGAAGCCCCGGCUAACUACGUGCCAGCAGCCGCGGUAAUACGUAGGGAGCAAGCGUUAUCCGGAUUUACUGGGUGUAAAGGGCGAGUAGGCGGAUUGGCAAGUUGGGAGUGAAAUGUCGGGGCUUAACCCCGGAACUGCUUCCAAAACUGUUGAUCUUGAGUGAUGGAGAGGCAGGCGGAAUUCCCAGUGUAGCGGUGAAAUGCGUAGAUAUUGGGAGGAACACCAGUGGCGAAGGCGGCCUGCUGGACAUUAACUGACGCUGAGGAGCGAAAGCGUGGGGAGCAAACAGGAUUAGAUACCCUGGUAGU